GUGAGGAAUUUUGCGCAAUGGCCUAACGGCUGACGCAGCAACGCCGCGUGACUGAUGAAGCUCUUCGGAGUGUAAAAGUCUGUUAGGAGGGAAGAAGAGUCCGGUGGCCAAUACCCGCCGGAUGUGACGGUACCUCCAGAGAAAGCACCGGCUAACUCCGUGCCAGCAGCCGCGGUAAUACGGGGGGUGCAAGCGUUGUCCGGAAUCACUGGGCGUAAAGAGUGUGUAGGUGGGAUGAUCAGUUGGAAGUGAAAUGUCUCGGCUCAACCGAGGACCUGCUUCCAAUACUGUCAUUCUUGAGUCACGUAGGGGAAGGCGGAAUUCCAGGAGUAGCGGUGAAAUGCGUAGAUAUCUGGAAGAACACCGGCGGCGAAGGCGGCCUUCUGGGCGUGUACUGACACUGAGACACGAAAGCGUGGGGAGCAAACAGG
RNAcentral lists this ribosomal RNA (431 nucleotides) under uncultured bacterium. RNAcentral's name for it is "bacterial SSU rRNA". It matches the Rfam family "Bacterial small subunit ribosomal RNA", at positions 354 to 776 of the family's 1533-position model. The record is from RNAcentral.